RNAcentral lists this ribosomal RNA (497 nucleotides) under uncultured bacterium. Its description in RNAcentral is "partial 16S ribosomal RNA". It matches the Rfam family "Bacterial small subunit ribosomal RNA", at positions 28 to 507 of the family's 1533-position model. The record is from RNAcentral.
GAUGAACGCUGGCGGCGUGCCUAAUACAUGCCAGUCGAGCGAACAGACGAGGAGCUUGCUCCUCUGACGUUAGCGGCGGACGGGUGAGUAACACGUGGAUAACCUACCUAUAAGACUGGGAUAACUUCGGGAAACCGGAGCUAAUACCGGAUAAUAUAUUGAACCGCAUGGUUCAAUAGUGAAAGACGGUUUUGCUGUCACUUAUAGAUGGAUCCGCGCCGCAUUAGCUAGUUGGUAAGGUAACGGCUUACCAAGGCAACGAUGCGUAGCCGACCUGAGAGGGUGAUCGGCCACACUGGAACUGAGACACGGUCCAGACUCCUACGGGAGGCAGCAGUAGGGAAUCUUCCGCAAUGGGCGAAAGCCUGGCGGAGCAACGCCGCGUGAGUGAUGAAGGUCUUCGGAUCGUAAAACUCUGUUAUUAGGGAAGAACAAAUGAGUAAGUAACUAUGCACGUCUUGACGGUACCUAAUCAGAAAGCCACGGCUAACUACGUG